RNAcentral lists this ribosomal RNA (117 nucleotides) under Pteropus vampyrus (large flying fox). The record is from RNAcentral. Lineage: Eukaryota; Metazoa; Chordata; Mammalia; Chiroptera; Pteropodidae.
UUUUAUGGCCAUGCCACCCUUAACAAGCCUGAUGCCUGAUCUUGGAAGCUAAGCAGGGUUAGGACUAGUUAAUAUCCCAAUGGGAGACCACUUACGGAAACCAGGUACCUUUGACAU